This is a long non-coding RNA of Eriocheir sinensis (Chinese mitten crab), 1374 nucleotides long. RefSeq lists it as uncharacterized. NCBI's taxonomy places the organism in Eukaryota, Metazoa, Arthropoda, Malacostraca, Decapoda, Varunidae. The transcript is spliced from 2 exons. The record is from RefSeq and is a predicted model, not a curated record.
GGCAAGGGGUGAGGGUAUAAAGUCCCCCCCCUCUCCCUCACCUCACCCUCAGAGUCAGCGCUUCAUUCUUCCUCUGAAAUGUCACGCAGCGCCGCGCCACAUCGUUUUCACAGCAAAUAAAACAAUUUCUCCUUACACAUCCGCCUUAAAGAGGAGAGCGAGGCGUCCCCGGGCGAGCUCAGGGAUGAAAAAUGAGCUUGCAGAUACAUAAUAAAGAAAGCUGUAUACGGAGAGACAGACAGACUUAUUGGCGCAGAGAAAGAGUUAGGUGGAGAAAAGGAAGGUUGCAGAUAGAUGAUAAAGAGAGCUGUAUACGGAGAGACAGACAGACUUAGUGGCGCAGAGAAAAAGAGUUAGAAGGAGAAAAGGAAGAUUGCAGAUAGAUGAUAAAGAAAUUUGUAUGCGGAGAGACAGACAGACUUAGUGGCGCAGAGAAAAAGAGUUAGAAGGAGAAAAGGAAGAUUGCAGAUACAUAAUAAAGAAAUUUGUAUACGGAGAGACAGACAGACUUAUUGGCGCAGAGAAAAAGAGUUAGAAGGAGAAAAGGAAGAUUAAAAAAGAAAAGAAAAGAGCAGAUGGAAAAGACGAAGAAGGGAAAUGAACGAAGAAAACGGAGCCCGAAGAAGAAAAUGGGAAGAUAAAAUAGCCCCCCCAAAAAACACAUAGAAGGGAAGAAACAGGACAUAGAGAAGGAAUAUAUAAACGAAACGAAGAAAACGGAGCCCGAAGAAGAAAAAGGGAAGAUAAAAUAGCCUCCCCAAAAACACAUAGAAGGGAAGAAAAAGAGGAAACAUAGAAACGAAGAAAACGGAGCCAGAAGAAGAAAAUGGGAAGAUAAAAUAGCCCCCCAAAACACAUAGAAGGGAAGAAAAAGAGGAAACAGAGAAGAAAUAUGUAAAAGAACGAAGAAAACGGAGCCAGAAGAGAAAGAAAAAGGGAAGAUAAAAUGGAUAAAUAAAUAUAAAAAUAGUAAAAAAUGAUAGAGCGGACAGAGAGGACGGAGAAGCAAACGACAACGAAGAAAACGAAGGAAGAAAGAACCAGAAGAAGAAAACAAGAUGAAAAAAUCACAAGAAAAAAAAUAACCUGAAAAAAGAUAAAAAAAGAGAAAGUGAAAGAACAAGAAUAAAAAAAAGAAGAAAAAGAGAAGAAAAGAAGAAAAAAGAGACACAAACGAAUGAUUGAAGAAAAUCUAGACCAUGUAAAGAAGACAAAAGAUAAAAAAAUAAAAAGAAUGAAAAUAAAAAAAACUGAAAAAUAAAGAAAACGAAGAAAAAGAACCGAGAGGAACGAAUAAGAAGAGAGAGAGAGAGAGAGAGAGAGAGAGAGAGAGAGAGAGAGAGAGAGAGAGAGAGAGAGAGAGAGAGAGAGAGA